RNAcentral lists this ribosomal RNA (273 nucleotides) under uncultured bacterium. RNAcentral describes it as "partial 16S ribosomal RNA". It matches the Rfam family "Bacterial small subunit ribosomal RNA", at positions 524 to 796 of the family's 1533-position model. The record is from RNAcentral.
UACAGAGGUCCCAACCGUUGUUCGGAUUCAUUGGGCGUAAAGGGUGCGUAGGCGGUCGCGCAAGUCGGAUGUGAAAUCUCGGGGCUCAACCCCGAAACUGCAUUCGAUACUGCGUGGCUAGAGUGCUGGAGAGGAGACUGGAAUUUACGGUGUAGCAGUGAAAUGCGUAGAUAUCGUAAGGAAGACCAGUGGCGAAGGCGAGUCUCUGGACAGCAACUGACGCUGAGGCACGAAGGCCAGGGGAGCAAACGGGAUUAGAUACCCCCGUAGUCC